UUGCAAUGUGUUUUUAUUUUAAAAUUGAAGUUUAUAACAGAGUUAAUAGAGAAUAUGAAAUUAAAAUGAGUGUUUAUACUUGUUUCUAAGUCAUAGUAAAUAAAUAUGCAUGUACACAUGCAUGGCUAUAAAUUUUCAUAUGAACUAUCAAGUACAUAACCACAGUCUUUGUCUAUGAUACACACACACACACAGACAUAUAUAUAUGUCUAUAAUUACACAUAUGUUUAAUAAUUUACCCAAUGUUUAUUUAAGUAAUAAAUUAGUAUAAUGUAAACUUUAGCAUAAC
This 289-nucleotide long non-coding RNA is filed under the name Bos taurus (domestic cattle). RNAcentral describes it as "long non-coding RNA NONBTAT004073". Lineage: Eukaryota; Metazoa; Chordata; Mammalia; Artiodactyla; Bovidae. The record is from RNAcentral.